Molecule: ribosomal RNA, 369 nt
Filed under: Litomosa chiropterorum
Lineage: Eukaryota; Metazoa; Nematoda; Chromadorea; Rhabditida; Onchocercidae
Description: partial 12S ribosomal RNA
Source: RNAcentral
GUUUUAGUUUGUUAUUUUUUGUUAAAGACAUUUAAAAUUUGAUUUUUGAACUGGCUUAGUACCCAGGUACUCAAAAUUUCUUAAUUCGGGAGUAAAGUUUUGUUUAAACCGAAAAAAUAUUGACUGACUUUAGAUUUUUCUUUGGAACAUGUGUUGUGGAUAGUCCUCCUUUUUUGUCUAUUUUAUUUGCUCAUGUAUGAUUGUUUAGUUUUUACAUUUUUUGUGAUGCUCUAUCAUUUGUUGUUAUAAAACAGAUAUAUAUUUGGUUUAUAAAUUGAUUUUUCAGGUGUUACUAUUAUUAAUUUUUUUUGGAUUAUUAUUUAAUUUUUUAUGAAAUUGGAAAAGAAAGUAAUAGUUAUUUUUAUGUUU